RNAcentral lists this non-coding RNA (29 nucleotides) under Homo sapiens (human). Lineage: Eukaryota; Metazoa; Chordata; Mammalia; Primates; Hominidae. The record is from RNAcentral.
UGUACGGAUGAUCGCAAAACUGAGGUGUA